UCCCUGGUGGUCCAGUGGUUAGGACUCGGUGCUCUCACUGCUGGGGGCCCCAGGUUCGAUCCCUGGUCAGGGAA
Physeter macrocephalus (sperm whale) is the source of this 74-nucleotide non-coding RNA. Lineage: Eukaryota; Metazoa; Chordata; Mammalia; Artiodactyla; Physeteridae. The record is from the annotation of a RefSeq genome assembly.